Thalassophryne amazonica is the source of this 214-nucleotide long non-coding RNA. RefSeq lists it as uncharacterized. The record is from RefSeq and is a predicted model, not a curated record. The transcript has 3 exons. NCBI's taxonomy places the organism in Eukaryota, Metazoa, Chordata, Actinopteri, Batrachoidiformes, Batrachoididae.
CGAGUCCCCAGUCAAUGUUGGGUAUUUUUCCUCCCUCCAAAACAUUCUAAAACCUUUAACAAGACAAACAGAGUCAAGAAACACCAGUGAGACCAGGAAAGGUCCCCAAAUCAUCCGCCGCGGAGUGCGGCCCAGGGCUGUACACCAAGGCCUACACUAAAGUCCUGGGCCUGCUUUUCCGUCUUUUUAUUAGAGACGCCCUCAUCACAUAAAC